AACGCGAAGAACCUUACCUAGGCUUGACAUGUACCUGACCGCUGUAGAAAUACAGUUUUCUGAGCUUCGGUUCAGACGAGUACACAGGUGCUGCAUGGCUGUCGUCAGCUCGUGUCGUGAGAUGUUGGGUUAAGUCCUCUAACGAGCGCAACCCUUGCCGUCAGUUGCUACUUGCGUAAGCAAAGCACUCUGAUGGGACUGCCUGGGAAACUAGGAGGAAGGUGGGGACGACGUCAAGUCAUCAUGGUCCUUAUGCCUAGGGCUACACACGUGUUACAAUGGCUAGUACAAAGAGCUGCUAAUCCGUAAGGACAAGCUAAUCUCAAAAAACUAGUCUAAGUUCGGAUUGAGGUCUGCAACUCGACCUCAUGAAGUUGAAAUCGCUAGUAAUCGCGUAUCAGCAACGACGCGGUGAAUACGUUCUCGGGCCUUGUACACACCGCACGA
RNAcentral lists this ribosomal RNA (447 nucleotides) under uncultured bacterium. RNAcentral describes it as "bacterial SSU rRNA". It matches the Rfam family "Bacterial small subunit ribosomal RNA", at positions 958 to 1397 of the family's 1533-position model. The record is from RNAcentral.